AAUAAAGCACGCGUCACGCUAGUUUCGGCGCCUAUAUUGCUGCCCUCAUACCGGCAACACUGGGGAGACGUCGCUCGAAGUCGUCGCUCGCAUGGGGUGCAACUUGUAGGCGACGAGCGAACGCGACAGCCAUCUCCAUCGCGUCGCUUGUCGCUGUCGCGUGCAAGAUCGCUUGCAUGGGGUUUAUACUUUACGAGUUUAUGCUGCAAACAGGUGUUGACCUGAGUACAACACUGCGACCACUCCUGCGUGCUGUUGCGAAGAAAGUAAUUGAAAACGCCCAGAAACGGCAUCUUGAGGCAUUUCUUGCGGACUUUAACAGUGGCUUGCAGGCUGCGACCGAGGACAAAAGAAAUGAUAUGAUAGACUGCUGAAAUUUCUUUGCUGCCCUGUCUCGUUAAGGAAUGCAAGGAAGCAUUUUUGACAACUGGAAGUGCACCUGAACUGUGAGCAGCAGAUAAGCUGACUGACCGGGGCACGUCAGUCACAUCUGGCGUCACACUGAAGUCUCCGAGUUCAGCCGAAGCACAAAGCGGUUGGACUUCGGGUCCACAAUCUCCUCAGUGACGUUGAAGUGGGGCAGGG
Molecule: long non-coding RNA, 585 nt
Organism: Dermacentor albipictus
Lineage: Eukaryota; Metazoa; Arthropoda; Arachnida; Ixodida; Ixodidae
Source: RefSeq, a predicted model, not a curated record